CAGGGAGGGAGCGGUAGAGGGAAGGAGAGAGAAUCGUUAAUGAGUGCAGUAUCAAGGAAGAAGAACUUCUAAUGUACUAUAGCACAAGAGGAUAAGUAUGGUUGACAACAAUUUAUCAUGAAUUUCAAAUAACUGGUAGAGAGGACUUUGAAUGCUCCCAGCACAAGCAAAUGAAAUGGCAUGAGGUGAUAGUUAUAUACCAAUUGUCCUGAUAGGAUCAUCACUUACUGUAUACAUAGAGUGAAAUUUCACACUGCAGGACAUAAAUAUCUACAGUUAUUAUGUGUCAAUUAAAAAAAUUAUGAACUGGAAUUGUGGUGCGACCAGUUGAGCUGCUGCUUGUGAUGCCAGCAUCCCAUAUCGUGCUGAUUUGAGUCCAGCUGCUCUGCUUUCUGUCCAGCUCCCUGCUAACGUGUCUGGGAAGCCAGCCAAAAAUGACCCAAGUGCUUGGGCCCCUGCACUCAGGUGGGGGACCUGGUUGAAGCUCCUGGCUCCUGGAUUUGGCCUAGCGCAGCCCCAGCAGGUGCCAUCAUUUGAGGAGUGAACCAGCGGAAGAAAGAUUCCCCUCUCCCUCUCCCUCUCCCUCUCCCUCUCCCUCUCCCUCUCCCUCUCCCUUUCCCUCUCUCUCUCCCUCUCUCUCUCCCUCUCUCCAACACUGCCUUUCAAUUAAAUAAUAAAAAAUUCUUUAGCAGCUUCAAUUCUGUCAGGGCUUCUUCUUUUGUUGGUUUUCUUUGUUGGUUUUGUCCAUAUUUCUUUAUUGGUAAAUUACAAGUGUUCUUUGCUCUCAUCUCAUUGUGCCUUUGUAUUCUUCCUUUUUCCGCAGGUAAUAAAGACCUGAGCAUCCUACAUCUUCUCAAAUGCCACAAUACAACAAUGCAUUUGGAGAGUAGAUGCCGAUGCAAGCAGAAACCAACAAGUGAGAAAUCUUAUGUAAUCUGGACAAGAAAUGGCAUGUGGAGUCCUAAUGUGAAAACCAAAGAGAAAGAGUGAAGGCUACUGUUGGAGCUGAUGACCUAUGAUUCCCAAACAUAACCUGUCUUCAGAGAAGUGGCUGAAGAUAAGCAUUGUGUGGUGAGCUCCUGAAACCCCCGAUGUGAAAACCCAGCCCAGAACAAUCGGAAUAACUGCAGGAAGUUCCUAUGCAUCAGUUUGACGCUACCCAGGUGAUACCAUUAAGAAAUGAAAUUUGACAUUCUAAUUUCAUGUAAAAUCAAUUAAUUAAAUUAUGUG
Molecule: long non-coding RNA, 1230 nt
Filed under: Oryctolagus cuniculus (rabbit)
Lineage: Eukaryota; Metazoa; Chordata; Mammalia; Lagomorpha; Leporidae
Description: lncRNA (ENSOCUG00000032024.1)
Source: RNAcentral